RNAcentral lists this long non-coding RNA (304 nucleotides) under Sarcophilus harrisii (Tasmanian devil). RNAcentral describes it as "lncRNA (ENSSHAG00000030983.1)". The record is from RNAcentral. Lineage: Eukaryota; Metazoa; Chordata; Mammalia; Dasyuromorphia; Dasyuridae.
GGGGGAGGAAAAAAGGGAGGGCGUACUUGGUGACCAGUUGCGCACCCUCCCCAGACACUGGAACUCGGCCGAGGCUGAAGAUCCAUGGGGGAAGAGUCGGGCUGAAGGCCGGAGAAUUAGGAGGGCGGAUUGGGCAUCGCCCCAUCCAGCUGCUGGCAGCGGACGACAGCCGGCCGGCUCGCCGCGCGGAACUCUGGCGAGCGCACUGGAAGCACACAAGUACAUACAGACGCGCGCCCAGCCGGCGUAGGUCUCCAGUUUUGCCCAGGCAGUUUUUUUUUCUUUGUCGUAGUUUUAGAAGCCC